Molecule: ribosomal RNA, 492 nt
Filed under: uncultured bacterium
Lineage: Bacteria
Description: partial 16S ribosomal RNA
Rfam family: Bacterial small subunit ribosomal RNA
Source: RNAcentral
AUUGAACGCUGGCGGUAGGCCUAACACAUGCAAGUCGAGCGGCAGCACAGUAAGAGCUUGCUCUUACGGGUGGCGAGUGGCGGACGGUUGAUGAAUACAUCGGAAUCUACGUUGUCGUAGGGGCGAACGUAGGGAAACUUACGCUAAUACCGCAUACGACCUACGUGUGAAAGCAGGGGAUCUUCGGACCUUGCGCGAUUGAAUGAGCCGAUGUCGGAUUAGCUAGGUGGCGGGGUAAAGGCCCACCAAGGCGACGAUCCGUAGCUGGUCUGAGAGGAUGAUCAGCCACACUAGAACUGAGACACGGUCCAGACUCCUACGGGAGGCAGCAGUGGGGAAUAUUGGACAAUGGGCGAAAGCCUGAUCCAGCCAUACCGCGUGGGUGAAGAAGGUCUUCGGGUUGUAAAGCACUUUUGUUUGGAAAGAAAAGCAGUAAGUUAAUACCCUGCUGUUCUGACGGUACCCACAGAAUAAGCACCGGCUAACUUCGUG